UGCGUGAUCGUAUAGUGGUGAGUAUCCCCGCCUGUCACGCGCGGAGACCGGGGUUCGAUUCCCCGUCGGGGAG
Molecule: transfer RNA, 73 nt
Filed under: Orchesella cincta
Lineage: Eukaryota; Metazoa; Arthropoda; Collembola; Entomobryomorpha; Orchesellidae
Rfam family: tRNA
About the family: Transfer RNA (tRNA) molecules are approximately 80 nucleotides in length. Their secondary structure includes four short double-helical elements and three loops (D, anti-codon, and T loops).
Source: Rfam by way of RNAcentral